This is a non-coding RNA of Pelobates cultripes (western spadefoot toad), 298 nucleotides long. NCBI's taxonomy places the organism in Eukaryota, Metazoa, Chordata, Amphibia, Anura, Pelobatidae. The record is from the annotation of a GenBank genome assembly.
GUCUGGGUACCUAUAGUGGUCCUUUAAUCUCAAUUAAUGCUUACAAUGUUUAUGAAAAUCAGAAAGCCAGGGUCCGAGGCUGGAUCCACAUAAACAAUAGAGUAUCAACUUACAACCAAUUGUUGCCGAAGGUGUGCCGAUCCUGGUUCUCCACAUUAAACCACCAGAGGGCGUGCAGGGGAAUUAAAACUCCUGCUAUCCAUCCAAUGAUCACAUCAUGCGCUCAUCUUAGAGCCGAAACAGGACUAGUGGAGUGAGGGCUCUAGUACAAAACUGUAAACUGGGGGGUGGUAGCACU